UGCAAAUUGUGAGUACCUAUGAAGGAUCACAUGUGUUGCCUCAAAUCUCUUGGCAUAUUCUACAGCAACCACGUUGAGCUUGCCUGCCUCCACUGCUAUUUCAAAUUCAACCUACACGUACAUGAUUCAGCCAAGAAACUGUUGUGGAAAUUGUCAAUUACCUGUUGCAUUUCAGCUAGCUUCGAUAUCUCUGAAAUCGCUGCAUCUUUUGAAUAUUCGACCAUCUUUUCUUGAAUUUCUUCCUCUCUGUCUUCUUUUUUCUUAUUGCUUUUUGCACUUGAAUGCAAAUAUCUGUCACAACCUGCAUGAAACCUAGAACUAAUAAGGGGAACAGAAUCACAACAGAAAACUAACCCUUCGUCCUAAUAAAUUUAGGGUGGGCUACGCGAAUCAUUUUUUGCCACUUUAACCGGUUGAUUGCUAGAUCAGUAAAGGAAACAGAACGCUAACUGCUCCCUUUCCACUGGGAUAGUGCACUUGCAUACAGAACUCUUGAAUGCCUGAAUGACAACAAGAAGCUUGAUUUUGCCACCAGUCUGAAGCCAUGAACCUCGAAGGACUUGUUUGAUGGAAACGAUGCAAAUUUUCCAGAAAUCAUCUUGGACUAUUAGCACCUUCUGAUCAUUCAUCAACAUACUUUUGCACUUCCAGAAAAAAAGAAGAAACAUUUCAGCUAGAACUCUGCUUCAUGCUAUGCAAAACUUUAUGGAAUUGUAGCCAAAAAAGUACCUGAAAUUCUCUGGCCAAAGGG
Molecule: long non-coding RNA, 751 nt
Organism: Olea europaea var. sylvestris
Lineage: Eukaryota; Viridiplantae; Streptophyta; Magnoliopsida; Lamiales; Oleaceae
Exons: 4
Source: RefSeq, a predicted model, not a curated record